CCUACGGGAGGCAGCAGUGGGGAAUAUUGCACAAUGGGGGAAACCCUGAUGCAGCGACGCCGCGUGAGUGAAGAAGUAUUUCGGUAUGUAAAGCUCUAUCAGCAGGGAAGAAAAUGACGGUACCUGAUUAAGAAGCCCCGGCUAACUACGUGCCAGCAGCCGCGGUAAUACGUAGGGGGCAAGCGUUAUCCGGAUUUACUGGGUGUAAAGGGAGCGUAGACGGCAGCACAAGUCUGGAGUGAAAUGCCGGGGCUUAACCCCGGAACUGCUUUGGAAACUGUGCAGCUAGAGUGCAGGAGAGGUAGGUGAAAUUCCUGGGGUGGCGGUGAAGUGCG
Molecule: ribosomal RNA, 335 nt
Filed under: uncultured bacterium
Lineage: Bacteria
Description: partial 16S ribosomal RNA
Rfam family: Bacterial small subunit ribosomal RNA
Source: RNAcentral